Molecule: transfer RNA, 76 nt
Filed under: Methanosphaera cuniculi
Lineage: Archaea; Methanobacteriati; Methanobacteriota; Methanobacteria; Methanobacteriales; Methanobacteriaceae
Description: tRNA-Ala
Rfam family: tRNA
About the family: Transfer RNA (tRNA) molecules are approximately 80 nucleotides in length. Their secondary structure includes four short double-helical elements and three loops (D, anti-codon, and T loops).
Source: RNAcentral
UGGGCUAGUAGCUCAGCUUGGUAGAGUGUCGCCUUGGCAUGGCGGAGGCCUCGGGUUCAACUCCCGACUAGUCCAU